AAACCUAUGUUCUCCUUUCGGAGGUAUGC
This 29-nucleotide small RNA is filed under the name Bombyx mori (domestic silkworm). RNAcentral describes it as "ovarian small RNA-181". Lineage: Eukaryota; Metazoa; Arthropoda; Insecta; Lepidoptera; Bombycidae. The record is from RNAcentral.